This 464-nucleotide ribosomal RNA is filed under the name uncultured bacterium. RNAcentral's name for it is "partial 16S ribosomal RNA". It matches the Rfam family "Bacterial small subunit ribosomal RNA", at positions 28 to 507 of the family's 1533-position model. The record is from RNAcentral.
GACGAACGCUGGCGGCGUGCUUAACACAUGCAAGUCGUACGGUAAGGACCUUUCGGGGGUCCAAGAGUAGCGAACGCGAGAGUAACACGUGCGUAACCUGCACACAACUUUGGGAUAACGAUAGGAAACUGGAGCGAAUGCUAGUAAUGCACAACAGCUGUAUGGAGGGGUUGGAAAGCUCCGGCGGUGUUGGAUAGACUGGCGGGCUAACGGCUCGUUGGUGGGGUAGUGGCCUACCAAAGCGGCGGAGGGUAGCCGGCCUGCGAGGGUGACCGGCCACAUUGGGACUGAGAUACGGCCCAGACGCCUACGGGAGGCAGCAGUGGGGAGUCUUGCACAAUGGGCGCGAGCCUGAUGCAGCAGCGCCGCGUGCGGGAUGACGGCCUUCUGGUUGAAAACCGCGUUCAGCAGGGACGAAGCUUUUUGUGACGGUACCUGCAGAAGAAGCACCGGCUAACUACGUG